UAGAUUCCUUUACCUGCGUAGGCCUUCUGAAGCAGCAUUUGAAGUUGCAGUCCUGAAAACCAUGCAGGCUGGAAGAGUAUCUAAAUAAAUAUUUAUUUGAGAUGGCACAUGUUUCUUCAGAAACUCAAGUUGUUUCUCCCAGAGAUGAAUUAACUGAUUCAGAAGCCUCCACUAGGUCUCCACCGUGUAAACACACAUUCCCAGGGGACUCAGACUUAAGGAAACUUUGGAAAAUACUUGAAAGUGACCAACUCAAGUCUGUUCUGUGGGUUGAGAAUGGAACUUGUGUGGUGAUUAAUGAAGAACUCUUCAAGAAAGAAAUUUUCGAUAUAAAGGCUCCUUACAGAAUAUUUCAAAGUGACAGUAUCAAAAGUUUUGUUCGACAGCUCAACCUUUAUGGAUUUAGUAAAAUUCGACAGAAUUUUCAAAGAUCUGCCAUUCUAGCCACCUUUCUGGCAGAAGAGAAUGAAUCCAUUGUCUUAAGCAAGAUAUUUAACAUAUUCAGUUACAACUUUACAUAGAGUAUAUAAGUAAUUUUACUUUGUACAUCAGUAAAUAUGUUAAUACAUGUAGUAAGACCAGAUUUUGAACAUUAUAUAAAAUAUUAAGGUAAAAUUUAUUUAAUUUUUUGAAAUUAUUGAGUUCAGCUUAAGCAUUAACCUUUCAGGGUUUUAAGAAAUUUUGCUAACAACUUUGAAUCUUACCAGUGAAAUCAAAAUAAAUGUACCAAAGCCACUUAAUGCAAUGUUACUAUUAAUGUAUGACAUGUUUUCACUUGAGAGCUUAACAACUUGAGUGCUUUCUUCCCAACAAGCACAUUCUUGAAAAUAGUAAACCAUGUUCACGAAUUAUUUGAUGACAAUAAGUUUGUGUGAUGAAACAGAAAUCUGAUAUUUUAUGUGUUAUGUUUGUUAUUGUCACUUGUCUCAACAAAUUGCAACACAUCAACAUGCUAUUUUAAAUCAGUUGUACGCUAUUCAUGUGACCACUAUUCUUAUGCACUCUCAUACCAUCUACAUCAAAGCAAGUGACCACAUUGCAAAUUUCAUUGCAACCACAACUUCUCAAUACUGCAACAUAUCUCCCUUGCAAAACCGUUAUCUGGGGCUGACAGGGGAACCAUCUGCUCUUCCAACAAGAUAUCCUGUGGUAUCAGUCAACGAGGCUCCACAUCCUAACCUGCUACCAGCAGGCAACCCAUGGUUGCAAAUGCCUACAAUAGCUAAUACAUCAUCUCUCCCUCAUUCCAGGCCAGCUCUUCAACCAUCACGACUGGACAAAUAUCACCGUAAUUACAACUGAUCUUCCACUAAAAGAGCACCAGAUUAGGCAUGACAACAGAGACUAACAUUUACAUCGACCAAUAAAACCCUAGACAUUUCUGCAAUUAUCUUACUGAAUAAUAAAACUGCAUGUCGACUUUCA
This is an RNA transcript of Pan troglodytes (chimpanzee), 1425 nucleotides long. It is a transcript of the gene named heat shock transcription factor, Y-linked-like, with no coding region annotated. Lineage: Eukaryota; Metazoa; Chordata; Mammalia; Primates; Hominidae. The transcript has 2 exons. The record is from RefSeq and is marked validated.